RNAcentral lists this long non-coding RNA (3135 nucleotides) under Rattus norvegicus (Norway rat). RNAcentral describes it as "long non-coding RNA NONRATT016057". Lineage: Eukaryota; Metazoa; Chordata; Mammalia; Rodentia; Muridae. The record is from RNAcentral.
CAACAGAAUACUACGAACAGCUGUUUAUAAUCAUCUGGUUUAUAUGUACUGCUGCAGGGUGGCUGCACUCAACGAGUUUAUGCAAUGACUUUCUUGGAUGUUUCUGAAGGAUAAUUGCACAGGAGGAGGAUGUACAGAGAGUAGGCCCCUUGCACUAUAUGUGGUAUAUUCCACUUGUGCCUAAUUAUUAACUGGGAUCUUUAAUUGUUCUGAGCUUACGCUGCAAAGUGGUUUUUUCCUCCCAGAGUCUGGAAAGAGCAAUGAAAGGAAAGGCGGUCGAUCUCGUUCUCACACUCGCUCAAAGUCCAGGUCUAGCUCAAAGUCCCAUUCUAGAAGGAAGAGAUCGCAGUCAAAGCACAGGAGUAGAUCCCAUAACAGGUCACGUUCAAGACAGAAAGAUAGACGUAGAUCCAAGAGCCCACAUAAGAAACGCUCUAAGUCUAGGGAGAGGCGGAAGUCAAGGAGCCGGUCGCGGUCACGGGACAAGAGAAAAGAUACCCGGGAAAAGGUGAAGGAAAGAGUGAAGGAGAGAGAAAGGGAAAAGGAAAAGGAAAGGGAAAAGGAGCGUGAAAAAGACAAGGAACGGGGUAAAAACAAAGAUAAAGACCGUGAGAAGGAAAAGGACCAUGAAAAGGAGCGAGACAAAGAAAAGGAGAAGGAACAAGAUAAAGACAAGGAACGGGAAAAAGACAGAUCCAAAGAGGCAGAUGAAAAACGGAAGAAGGAGAAGAAGUCUAGAACACCGCCCCGAAGCUACAAUUCCUCAAGACGAUCCCGUAGUGCCAGCAGGGAAAGGCGGAGGAGGAGAAGCAGGAGUUCUUCUAGAUCGCCAAGAACAUCAAAGACCAUAAAAAGAAAGUCUUCUAGGUCUCCGUCUCCCAGGGGCCGGAAUAAGAAAGAGAAAAAGAGAGAGAAAGAACGGGACCACAUCAGUGACAGGAGAGAAAGAGAGCGUUCCACCUCCACAAAAAAGAGUUCUAGUGACCGAGACGGGAAGGAGAAGGUGGAGAAGACUAACACACCAGUUAAGGAGAAGGAACACAGUAAAGAGGCAGAUUCAACUGUGAGCACCGAUGCGGAUGAGAAGGACGCUGCCAGGACUGAGGAGGAAAGUAAAGCACAGCACAAUGGGAAUUGCCAGCCCCACGAAGAGCGCCUGUGCAGCACGGCCGACGCUGUGUAGGCCGCCCGCUUUGUCUCCUCCACGGCAGGCUCGACCCAGAGCUUUCAGUUCCAAACAAGGUGUAAACGGAGAAGGAACGUUACCCAUGUAUGGUAGCCAAAGCUUUCCCAGCUUUGAGGUGACAUUGCGGACAUCUUGUACUGAGCAUGGACAUCAUGAAAUACCAGAUGCUACCCAAACUGACCAUCUUCUGAAGUCUCCAUUUCCAUGGUGGCGGCCACGCUUGUCAUGUGGUGGGUGCAUCAGUGUUUGCCAGAAAAGCAGAGAUCCAGAGGGAAGUUCUCCACGGAGAUGAGCAGUGGAGGCUCUUAAAAAUAAUGCUAGUUAUUCAAUUUUGUAUUGUUUUACUUUUUUUUAAAAAAAAAUUUUCAAUAUAUACAGUUUGAUGAUGUGCUUGAAAUUUGUGCAAAUAUACAUACACUCUUGUAAAGUGCAAAGUAUGUAAGACGUUUUAACAUUUACUUCACAGGGGUUACAGUGAUUGUGGUAAAUCCUCACCAUUGGGUUUUCUUUUGCUCACUGUUUUGGACAUCAGUUUUUCUUUAAAACGGUUUUACAGGUUAACAUUGCUUAAGUAAGUGAUAAAAACCACUGACAAUGCAUGCUACUGUUCUUCAGAAGAGCAACUGUGUCGAAUACUAACGACGUAUUCAGUGUUUAGAAUCAUCGUCUGCCAUAAAAAAAACAUUUCUUAACUUCCUUAACAUUUCCAAGCUCAUGAGUAAUACUGCAGCGUGUCUUGUCAGCUGGAGGCGGCAAAGAUGCCCUUAUCAAAAGGAAGCAGCUUUCAGAGAUGGGCGAUUGGAGCACAAGCUGAAGCUCUAGUGCCUUCUGCAAUGUGUGCUGUACUGUUUUCUAGGGUUUUAUAUGUGCUAGUCAUUCUUAAUUCAUAUGGAAUCUAGAUGGCUGUAUUCUAGUCAUAUCCAUUGAAGUGUGCAAGUGGUGUGUCAGAAGCACUUCUUAAUUCAGAUAAGAAAAGGAAGCCCUGUUUACAAGAUGUGUGGAAGUUCAAACAACAAUGUAGUUUGGGGACCACCAGUUUUAUACUGUGAUGAUUAAACAGGAGACCUGCUCUUACAUGGCCAGAGGAAACCUAUGAGUUGAUUUCAUUGGAUGAUAGCCUUAAUAUUACCUUGCAGUCAUUUUCUCCUAAUGAUGCAGAAAUUGUACGUAAAGGAAGGACUAGGAGCAUAUGGAGAGGUAACUUUGUGUUUAAUGAUAUGCGUGCCUGAGUGUAAGAGACGAGGUCAUCCGUCAGUCUGAGGCUCACCUUUUUGCAGAAGGUAUGCAAGUAGUAAAACGACAUCUGUGUUAAUGUUUUCCCCAAAACUAUACAUUCUAGUUACUGCACUGUUCAUCAUUGCUCAUUUCCAGAACAACAGAAUCCUGCUUUUAAUUUGCAAAGGUUAUUUGAAAAUCAAGUGUAAUUAUUUUAACAGAACCUAAUACAAUCAAAUACUCAGUUGCCUUACCUCAUGAAGUUACUUUCCCAGCUUUCAAAAGCCAAGUAGCACUUUAGUUCCUUGGUUUCAACUUGAGUCUUUUUCACAUUAAUAGUGUGGAAUCUGUAAUCUGAAGACUAGAAAGGCCCUUUCUGCAAAUCAUAAAGCCUGGUUCGAUUAUGAAGCUGCUUAAUCAUCUUCGGGUGUUCAGAAUUAGCGUGUGUGUGUGUGUGUGUUUGCUUUUUUUUUGUCACUGUGUACAUUAAACUUUUGGAAAAUGCUUUACUAUGUAAAGUAUAGAUGGCCAUUUUAAUCACUUAGCCACAUACGGUUGGCUGGUAAACAGCUUAUUCUGAUACAGAAAUACUUGGACACCUGUGGAGAGAUUGUGAAGGAGUGUCUCACUUCAACCGCUGUCUUAUUUAUGAAAUGUAAGUAGAAUAGAGCAAAUGUUGGAAUCUUUGUUAUUUUUUAGUACCAUUUCUCUAAUAAAGUUGAGUAUUUUAGCGG